CAUGUGUGGCAGUUCUCACGAGAGUUUGCGAGCGAGCUGCCAGUUAGCGACAGGGAUGGGUGGCUGGGCCAGCUGAGGAGAAGCGGUGGCUGCCUGGCCAGCCAUAGAGAAGCGGCGGCCACGGGGCCGGCCAAGGAGAAGCUGCCUCUGAGGGAAAACUAGGGGCACAGAUGCUCUGCGCCAGAGGUCACCCAGUGCAGCACGGGCCAGUGGAGCAGCAACUACACUACCCUGGAUGGGCUAAAGAGGAUUUGGAGGCCCUGAACAUCAGCCUGUAGUGGAUCAAGGACCAUUGUCUGAGUCAACGGCCCUUAAGAAUCAGCUUGAAUUAUAAUCACAAGAGUAUCUGGAAAAUGAGAAACCACAAUAGAAACUUCUUCGAGCAUUUGAGUUUCCAUCUCCAUUGAUGACAGUGAAUUAUACUUCCAGGACUAUUCAAAUAAAACCCUCAGCUGAAUUAUUCAAAAAAUUGUCUACUGACAGUUUUCUGAGCCAUCGUCAAAUAUAAAGAUUAAUUAAUUAAAAGGAAACAGCAGCUGACAUCCAGAGCAGCAAUCGCUGGGCUGGUUUACCCUCAGAGACACAUGUUUGAAAGGCAAAGAGGAUUUAUGGAGGCAGGGAAAAGAGUGAAAAUCACUCCCCUCUCUCCCCACACACAUGCUCAGCUGCUUGGGAAGACUCUGGCUAAGUUAAGAGCAGCCUCCCUGUGCACUCUCUGAGUGGAUGCAGCUUCUCUAAGUCACCAGAAUUGCUGCUCUGUAUGUCAACAAAUAAGAUGAAGGGACAACAUUAGACAUUGGCUGAUAUACAGAGCAAAGAUGCACCUGUUCAGUGAGAGAACAGCCUAAUUGCACCAGUGAAGCAGGAGAGUGGCAUUUUUUCAUGCCCUCCCCCAGGAGGCCCUUUGUGUUACCACUAAAUAUGUCCUCAAGGGCUGCACAAUCCUCAGGGACAUAUUUUUGGAUGGCACAGAGGGCUUCCUGGGGAAGAGGACGGCGUCAAAAAUUGCCACUUCUUCACUGCAUCAUUGUAGUUAGUUCAGCUGGGAUGUUCUGCUAGGCUACUCUCUCAUUGCACCCGUGCCGCCUUCUCUCUAUGUCAGCCAGUUUACUUCUCAUGAACCACCCAGGUUUGCACACAAAUUACAUGCUUAGUUAAGAGUAAAUUAAAUUGAAGUCAGUGAGACUUACUUCUCUUAAACACUCAGGGCUUUUUGAUUUAUUAUGUUGAUAUUGAUAAGGAGCUGAAAUCCAUCUUGAGCUCUCAUGAGUACACUUUUAUAAUAUAUAUGUACUUAGUUCCUUUGCCAAUGUGGGAUUCAGUGUUAAAUACUCCAUAUUAUUUGAUAAAAUUCUGAACCUCUUUA
Long non-coding RNA from Hemicordylus capensis (graceful crag lizard), 1366 nucleotides. RefSeq lists it as uncharacterized. Lineage: Eukaryota; Metazoa; Chordata; Lepidosauria; Squamata; Cordylidae. The record is from RefSeq and is a predicted model, not a curated record. The transcript is spliced from 3 exons.